AACAAUAAGCUGUUCGUCCCCCCCGACGUCCAACUUUUGCAAACACACCCCCGUGUACCUCUCCCCUUUUGCUUCCCCGGGGCCGCCCAGUGCGGUGCGCCCCGGGGGAGGUCAGGAGGCCAGGCCGCUCUGCGCGGCCGGGCCCCGGACGCUCUUCCGCAUUCCGUCUGGAUGUCUGUCUGAACAAAACCUAAGAAAUAAUCUUAAA
This 208-nucleotide unclassified non-coding RNA is filed under the name soil metagenome. Its description in RNAcentral is "partial internal transcribed spacer 1". The record is from RNAcentral.